This 2548-nucleotide ribosomal RNA is filed under the name Dipterosiphonia australica. RNAcentral describes it as "large subunit ribosomal RNA". It matches the Rfam family "Bacterial large subunit ribosomal RNA". The record is from RNAcentral. Lineage: Eukaryota; Rhodophyta; Florideophyceae; Ceramiales; Rhodomelaceae.
AACUAUUUAAAUAAAAAAAGGCAUUUGAAGAAAAUAUUGGUAAACUAAAGUUAAUUAAGGACGUGACGUUUCGAAACUUGUAAGGAGGUUUUGACUUGUGAUUUACAAAUUUCCUAAUUUAAAAAAUAAAAUUCUUAAUAUUUUGUGAAUUGAAUCAUCUUAGUAACAAUAAAAUUAAAAUCAACCGAUAAUUUAUUAGUAGCGGUGAGCGAAAAUAAAUUUUUUAAGUCUAAAAACAUUAAAAAUAAAAUAAAAAAUUUAAAACAAAUACAAAAAAAGGUUUAAGUCCUGUCAAUUAUUUAUUUAUUUUAAUUGUUUUUAAAUAAAGUAAAAUGUAAUUACAUUUGAAAAUUUUAAGGAGAACCACCUUCUAAACUUAAAAAUUUAGUUUAAUCGAUAGUAAAAGAGUAUUGUGAAUAAAAAUUGAAAAAAAUUGAAAAAAAUAAUUAAAAAUUGAAUGUCUAAUUAAUUACUUGAAGUAAAACUACAACAAGAUGCUUUUUGCAGAACGAGUCAGUAAGUUAAAAGUUAUAGCAAAAUAAUUAAAAAUCUAAAUUAUAAAGUUAUAAUUAUUAAACCUGAAACCAAGUGAUCUAAUUAUGAAUAAGUUGAUUUUAAUGUAACAAUUAAUUAAUGGCUGAACUUAUGUAUGUGGCAAAAUGCAAAGAAAAUUUAUAAUUAGGAGUGAAAGACUAAUCAAACUUGGUAAUAGCCGGUUUUUCACGAAAUGUAUUUUAGUACAGCUUCAUUAAUUUUUUUUAUUAGGGUAAAGUAAAAAAUUUCUUUAAAGCAAAUUUUUAACUUCAAAUUUAAUAAAAAAAUAAUGUUAGUCAGUCCUAAAGCGAUAAGGUUUUUGGACAAAAGGAAAACAAUCCAGCUCAUAUGUUAAGGUAUUAAAUUAUAAAAAUUAAAAUAAGAUAAAUUUAAAUUUAAAUACUAAAAUAGACUUAGAAGCAGUUCUUUAUUUGAGAAAGCGUUUUAGCUCAUUAUUUGUUUUAAAUUUAUUAAAAAUUUUGGAUACUAAAUUAUAAACCGAUACAAUGAAUAAAAUUUUAUUUAUGGUAGUGAAACAUUUUGUUAAAUUAAAAAAAGAGUAAUCAAUUUCUACACAAAAAUGCAAAUGCUGACAUGAGUAACGAAAAUUAUGUUAAAAAAUCAUAAUCAUAAAAAAAUAGGUUUUCAAUGUACUUUAAAAUUCAUUGAGUGAGUCGGUUCUUAAGAAAAUAACUGAAUAGUUUAUUUGAUAGUUACAAAUUAAGUUUUACUAAAUUGUUUAUUUAAAAUAAAAAGUAAAAUUUAUGUUUUUACAAAAAAUUUAAUUAACAACUUUUUUACUUUUUCGAGAAAAAAGCAAUUAGCAAAAACCGUACUAAAUCCGACACAGGUUUAAUUUUAUGUUUGAAAAAAUUAUACUAAAGGAACUUGGCAAAUUAAUUCCGUAUGUUCGCUAAAAGGAAUGUCUAAAUAAGUUUUAGAUAUCAUAAACUAAAAAGCAACGACUGGUUAACAAAACCACAGGACUUUGCAAAUUAUUAAUAAGCUGUAUAAAGUCUGAAGCCUGCCCAGUGCUUAAAAAUGAAAAAUAAGAGAUUAAUAUUUCUUUAAUAAGUUUAAGUAAACGGCGGUUCUAACUAUAAGAAUCCUCAGGUAGCGAAAUUCCUUGGCGGGUAAAUUCCGUCCUGCAUGAAUGGCUUAACGAUUGCUUUACUGUCUCUAGUAUAAAUUCAGUGAAAUUACAAUAUUCAUGAAAAUGUGAAUUAUUUACAAUAAGACGGAAAGACCCUAGAUCCUUUACUUUUAUUUUAUAUUGUAAAAAUUAUUUAGUUUUAAUACAGAAUAAAUGGGAGUAAAAAACUUUUUGAGAUACCAUUUUACAAAAUUUUUUUACUUAAUUUGGUAAUUUAUAUCAAAAAACGUGUAAAAUAGAAAGUUUACUUGGGAUGAGUACCUCCUACAAAGUAACGGAGGUGUGCAAUGGUAAAAAAAUUAUAAUAGUAAUUUUGCUUGAUAAUAAAAUUAAUAAAUUAAAUUAAGACGAAAGUCAGUUAUAAUGACCCGAAUUUAAGUGUGGAAUUAAAUUCGUUCAACAGCUAAAAGGAACUCUAGGGAUAACAGAUUCAUCAUGAUUUAAAGUUCAUAUUGAAGUCAUGGUUUGAUACCUCGAUGUCGACUCAUCUUAUCCUGAAAUUGUAAACGAUUUCAAGGGUCUAGUUGUUCGCUAGUUAAAAAGGUACGUGAGUUGGGUUCAGAACGUCGUGAGACAGUUCGGUCCCUAUCUAUUGUAAAAUAAAAAAAUAUAAAGAAUUAUUUUUAGUACGAGAGGACCAAAAUAUUUUAACCACUAGCAAAUUGAUUAAAAUUAUAUUAUUUUAUGUCAAGUAGCCACGUUAAUAAAUUUAAAUACUGAAUACAUCAAAAGUAUAAAAAUUUCUUUCUUAUUUUUUUGAACAAUCUUUUUGAAAACAAGAUAGAUCGAUCUAAGUUUAAUUUUUAGUAAUAAAAAUAUUAUAGAUACGAAAUUGUCAAAAUAAAAUUUAUUAACUUAAUC